UUUUGCACAAUGGGCGAAAGCCUGAUGCAGCGACGCCGCGUGGAGGAUGACGGCCUUCGGGUUGUAAACUACUUUUGUAGGGGAAAAUGAUGAUGGUACCCUAUGAAUAAGCCACGGCUAACUCUGUGCCAGCAGCCGCGGUAAGACAGAGGUGGCGAGCGUUGUUCGGAAUUACUGGGCUAAAGGGCGCGAGGCGGUGGAUAGUCUGGGGUGAAUCCUAAGCUAACUAUAGACUGCCCUGAAACUGAUACUUAGUCGGUAGGGAAGGCGAAUUCCUGGUGAGCGGUAAAUGCGAGUUCAGAGAAGGCCUGUGGUGAGCGCCUUCUGGACUUGCUGCGUGGCCAAAUAG
This 349-nucleotide ribosomal RNA is filed under the name uncultured bacterium. Its description in RNAcentral is "bacterial SSU rRNA". It matches the Rfam family "Bacterial small subunit ribosomal RNA", at positions 362 to 751 of the family's 1533-position model. The record is from RNAcentral.